RNAcentral lists this ribosomal RNA (130 nucleotides) under Staphylococcus aureus. RNAcentral describes it as "partial 23S ribosomal RNA". It matches the Rfam family "Bacterial large subunit ribosomal RNA", at positions 2795 to 2925 of the family's 2925-position model. Lineage: Bacteria; Bacillati; Bacillota; Bacilli; Caryophanales; Staphylococcaceae. The record is from RNAcentral.
CCCCUCAAGAUGAGAUUUCCCAACUUCGGUUAUAAGAUCUCUCAAAGAUGAUGAGGUUAAUAGGUUCGAGGUGGAAGCAUGGUGACAUGUGGAGCUGACGAAUACUAAUCGAUCGAAGACUUAAUCAAAA